UGGGACGAACACAAGGACACUCGAAACUAAGGGUAGAUGUAAACCUAACGUUAUGUCUGAAGCUUUGAUUACCACUUGAGGAGAAUAAGUGUGGCCCGAUCUUCCGAAAGUUUCUGGCAACUAUCGAUUUGGUGGAAAAGAGACACAAAUCAAUCCAGCUUGCGAACAACACGGUUCGAAACCUGCAAUUCUUUUUAUUUUUUUUUAUAUUUUUCUUUUACUUAGGAGCACUUAAGAAGUAACCACAGGAAAUUUGAGCUUGAACAAGUGAAAGACGUGGCCUGUGGAAACUUUUGAAGAUUGCGAAAAAUAUAAAGAAAAUUUUAGGAGGUGAAAACUCAAACUUCAGAGGCGAAUUUGGGGAUUUUAAAUUUGUCGAACCCACAACAGCGGGCAUAGACAGACCCAAAAAUUUUUUCUGAUCGAUUUUGAUAUAUGGAACGUCAAAAUCAGAGUUCGUAUGCGAAAGUUAUGGCUGUUUUACGAACGGACUCCGAAUUAGAGGACAAAACAGUCCGGAAGUGGGAAAAUUUGCGGCGGUGGCUAUAAAUUGAUGGAAACGUUGGGAAGAAACACACAAAUUGGACUCUAACAAGAUCUAACCAGUAACAAGACCUCGACUAGGACACAAACUCAACACUACGGACUCUGAAACUGAAAUAUGCAAAGGCUAUGGCGCGGAUGGGUUGUAGGACAUGAAAACAAUAUGGCACCAGACUUAUGGGACGAACACAAGGACACUCAAAACUAAGGGUAGAUGUGAAUCUAACAUUAUGUCUGAAGCUUUGAUUACCACUUGAGGAGAAUAAGUGUGGCCCGAUCUUUCGAAAGUUUCUGGCAACUAUCGAUUUGGUGGAAAAGAGACACAAAUCAAUGCAGCUUGCGAACAACACGGUUCGAAACCUGCAAUUCUUUUUAUUUUUUUUUUGAUAUUUAUAUUUUACUUAGGAGCACUCAAGAAGUAACCACAGGAAAUUUGAGCUUGAACAAGAGAAAGACGUGGCCUGUGGAAACUUUUGAAGAUUGCGAAAAAUAUAAAGAAAACUAACUCAAACUUCAGAUGCGAAUUUGGGGAUUGUAAAUUUGUUGAACCCGCCAAUGGAGGGCAUAGACAGACAUCGAUUUUGAUAUAUGGAACGUCAAAAUCGGAGUUCGUAUGCGAAAGUUAUGGCUGUUUUUCGAACGGACUCCGAAUUAGAGGACAAAACAGUCCGGAAGUGGGAAAAUUUGCGGCGGUGGCUAUAAAUUGAUGGAAACGUUGGGAAGAAACAUACAAAUUGGACUCUAACAAGACCUAACCAGUAACAAGACCUCGCGCAGGACACAAACUCAACACUACGGACUCUGAAACUGAAAUAUGCAAAGGCUAUGGCGCGGAUGGGUUGUAGGACAUGAAAACAAUAUAGCACUAGACAUAUGGGACGAACACAAGGACACUCGAAACUAAGGAUAGAUGUGAACCUAACGGUACGUCUGAAGCUUUGAUUACCACUUGAGGAGAACAAGUGUGGCCCGAUCUUCCGAAAGGUUCUGGUAACUAUCGAUUUGGUGGAAACGAGACCCAAAUCAAUCCACCUUGCGAACAACACGAUUUGAAACCCUACAAUUCUUUUUAUUUUUUUAUUUGAUAUUUUUCUUUUACUUAGGAGCACCGAAGAAGUAGCCACAGGAAAUUUGAGCUUAAACAAGUGAAAGACGUGGCCUGUGGAAUUUUUUGUAGAUUGCAAAAAAUAUGAAAAUAAACUUUAGGAGGUGAAAACUCAAACUUCAGAGGCGAAUUUGGGGAUUCUAAAUUUGUCGAACCCGCCUUUGGGGGAUAGACAGACCCAAAAAAUUUUUCUAAUUGAUUUUGAUAUAUGGAACGUCAAAAUCGGAGUUCGUAUGCGAAAGUUAUGGCUGUUUUACGAACGGACUCCGAAUUAGAGGACAAAACAGUCCGGAAGUGGGAAAAAUUUGCGGCGGUGGUUAUAAAUUGAUGGAAACGGUGGGAAGAAACACACAAAUUGGACUCUAACAAGACCUAACCAGUAACAAGACCUCGACCAGGACACAAACUCAAUACUAUGGACUCUGAAACUGAAAUAUGCAAAGGCUAUGGCGCGGAUGGGUUGUAGGACAUGAAAACAAUAUGGCACCAGACUUAUGGGACGAACACAAGGACACUCGAAACUAAGGGUAGAUGUGAACCUAACGGUAUGUCUGAAGCUUUGAUUACCACUUGAGGAGAAUAAGUGUGGCCCGAUCUUCCGAAAGGUUCUGGUAACUAUCGAUUUGGUGGAAAAGAGACACAAAUCAAUAUAGCUUGCGAACAACACGGUUCGAAACCUACCAUUCUUUUUAUUUUUUUGAUAUUUUUCUUUUACUUAGGCGCACUCAAGAAGUAACCACAGGAAAUUUGAGCUUAAACAAGUGAAAGACGUGGCCUAUGGGAUUUUUUGAAGAUUGCGAAAAAUAUAAAAAAAACUUUAGGAGGUCAAAACUCAAACUUCAGGGGCGAAUUUGGGGAUUCUAAAAUUAUUGAACCCGCCUCUAGCAGAGAUAGAUAGAUCCAAAAAUUUGUUCUGAUCGAUUUUGAUAUAAGGAACGUCAAAAUCGGAGUUCGUAUGCGAAAGUUAUGGCUGUUUUACGAACGGACUCCGAAUUAGAGGACAAAACCGUCCGGAAGUGGGAAAAAUUUGCGGUGGUGGCUAGAAAUUGAUGGAAACGGUGGAAAAAAAACACACAAACUGGACUUAAACAAGACCUAACUAGUAACGAGACCUCGACCAGGACAAAAACUAAAAACUACGGAUUCUGAAACUGAAAAUAUGCAAAGGCUAUAGCGCGGAUGGGUUGUAGGACAUGAAAACAAUAUGACACUAGACUUAUGAGACGAACACAAGGACACUCGAAACUAAGGGUAGAUGUGAACCUAACGGUAUGUCUGAUGCUUUGAUUACCACUUGAGGAGAACAAGUGUGGCCCGAUCUUCCAAAAGGUUCUGGAAACUAUCGAUUUCGUGGAAACGAGACACAAAUCAAUCCAGCUUGCGAACAACACGAUUCGAAACCCUACAAUUCUUUUUAUUUUUUUUGAUAUUUUUCUUUUACUUAGGAGCACUCAAGAAGUAACCAUAGGAAAUUUGAGCUUAAACAAGUGAAAGACGUGAGCUGUGGAAACUUUUGAAAAUUGCAAAAAAUAUAAAAAAACUUUUAGAGGUGAAAACACAAACUUCAGAGGCGAAUUUGGGGAUUCUAAAAUUGUCAAACCCGCACACGGCGGGGAUAGACAGAUCCAAAAUUUUGGUUUCAUCGAUUUUGAUUUAUGGAACGUCAAAAUCGGAGUUCGUAUGCGAAAAUUAUGGCUGUUUUACGAACGGACACCGAAUUAGAAGACAAAACGGUCCGGAAGUGGGAAAAAUUUGCGGCGGUGGCUAGAAAUUGAUGGAAACGGUGGGAAGAAACACACAAAUUGGACUCUAACAAGACCUAACCAGUAACAAGAUCUCGACCAGGACACAAACUCAACACUACGGACUCUGAAACUGAAAUAUGCAAAGGUUAUGGCGCGGAUGAGUUGUAGGACAUGAAAACAAUAUAGCACUAGACUUAUGCGACAAACACAAGGACACUCGAAACUAAGGAUAAAUGUGAACCUAACGGUACAUCUGAAGCUUUGAUUACCACUUGAGGAGAACAAGUGUGGCCCGAUCUUCCGAAAGGUUCUGGUAACUAUCGAUUUGGUGGAAACGAGACCCAAAUCAAUCCACCUUGCGAACAACACGAUUCGAAACCCUACAAUUCUUUUUAUUUUUUUUAUUUGAUAUUUUUAUUUUACUUAGGAGCACCGAAGAAGUAGCAACAGGAAAUUUGAGCUUGAACAAGUGAAAGACGUGGCCUGUGGAAUUUUUUGUAGAUUGCGAAAAAUAUGAAAAUAAACUUUAGGAGGUGAAAACUCAAACUUUAGAGGCGAAUUUGGGUAUUCUAAAUUUGUCGAACCCGGCUUUCGCGGGGAUAGACAGACCCAAAAAAAUUUUCUGAUUGAUUUUGAUAUAUGGAACGUCAAAAUCGCAGUUCGUAUGCGAAAGUUAUGGCUGUUUUACGAACGGACUCCGAAUUAGAGGACAAAACAGUCCGGAAGUGGGAAAAAUUUGCGGCGGUGGCUAUAAAUUGAUGGAAACGGUGGGAAGAAACACACAAAUUGGACUCUAACAAGACCUAACCAGUAACAAGACCUCGACCAGGACACAAACUCAACACUACGGACUCUGAAACUGAAAUAUGCAAAGGCUAUGGCGCAGAUGGGUUGUAGGACAUGAAAACAGUAUGGCACCAGACUUAUGGGACGAACACAAGGACACUCGAAAUUAAGGGUAGAUGUGAACCUAACUGUAUGUCUGAAGCUUUGAUUACCACUUGAGGAGAAUAUGUGUGGCCCAAUCUUCCGAAUGGUUCCGGUAACUAUCGAUUUGGUGGAAAAGAGACACAAAUCAAUCCAGCUUGCGAACAACACGGUUCGAAACCUGCAAUUCUUUUUAUUUUUGUUGAUAUUUUUCGUUUACUUAGGAGCACUCAUGAAGUAACCACAGGAAAUUUGAGCUUAAACAAGUGAAAGACGUGGCCUGUGGAAUUUUUUGAAGAUUACGAAAAAUAUAAAAAAACUUUAGGAGGUCAAAACUCAAACUUCAGGGGCAAAUUUGGGGAUUCUAAAAUUAUUGAACCCGCCUCUAGCAGAGAUAGAUAGAUCCAAAAAUUUGUUCUGAUUGAUUUUGAUAUAUGGAACGUCAAAAUCGGAGUUCGUAUGCGAAAGUUAUGGUUGUUUUACGAACGGACUCCGAAUUAGAGGACAAAACGGUCCGGAAGUGAGAAAAAUUUGCGGUGGUGGCUAGAAAUUUAUGGAAACGGUGGGAAAAAACACACAAACUGGACUCAAACAAGACCUAACCAGUAACAAGACCUCGACCAUGACACAAACUCAAAACUACGGAUUCUGAAACUGAAAUAUGCAAAGGCUAUAGCGUGGAUGGGUUGUACGACAUGAAAACAAUAUGGCACUAGACUUAUGAGACGAGCACAAGGACACUCGAAACUAAGGAUAGAUGUGAACCUAACGGUAUGUCUGAUGCUUUGAUUACCACUUGAGGAGAACAAGUGUGGCCCGAUCUUCCAAAAGGUUCUGGAAACUAUCGAUUUCGUGGAAACGAGACACAAAUCAAUCCAGCUUGCGAACAACACGAUUCGAAACCCUACAAUUCUUUUUAUUUUUUUUGAUAUUUUUCUUUUACUUAGGAGCACUCAAGAAGUAACCAUAGGAAAUUUGAGCUUAAACAAGUGAAAGACGUGAGCUGUGGAAACUUUUGAAAAUUGCGAAAAAUAUGAAAAAAACUUUUGGAGGUGAAAACUCAAACUUUAGAGGUGAAUUUGGGGAUUCUAAAAUUGUCAAACCCGCACACGGCGGGGAUAGACAGAUCCAAAAAUUUGGUUUAUCGAUUUUGAUAUAUGGUACGUCAAAAUCGGAGUUCGUAUGCGAAUGUUAUGUCUGUUUUACGAACGGACACCGAAUUAGAAGACAAAACGGUCCGGAAGUGGGAAAAAUUUGCGGCGGUGGCUAGAAAUUGAUGGAAACGGUGGGAAGAAACACACAAAUUAGACUCUAACAAGACCUAACCAGUAACAAGAUCUCGACCAGGACACAAACUCAACACUACGGACUCUGAAACUGAAAUAUGCAAAGGCUAUGACGCGGAUGGGUUGUAGGACAUGAAAACAAUAUAGCACUAGACUUAUGGGACGAACACAAGGACACUCGAAACUAAGGAUAGAUGUGAACCUAACGGUACGUCUGAAGCUUUGAUUACCAAUUGAGGAGAACAAGUGUGGCCCGAUCUUCCAAAAGGUCCGGGUAACUAUCGAUUUGGUGGAAACGAGACCCAAAUCAGUCCACCUUGCGAACAACACGAUUCGAAACCCUACAAUUCUUUUCAUUUUUUUUAUUUGAUAUUUUGUUUUACUUAGGAGCACCGAAGAAGUAGCCAUAGAAAAUUUGAGCUUAAACAAGUGAAAGACGUGGCCUGUGGAAUUUUUUGUAGAUUGCGAAAAAUAUGAAAAUAAACUUUAGGAGGUGAAAACUCAAAUUUAGAGGCGAAUUUGGGGAUUCUAAAUUUGUCGAGCCCGCCUACGGGGGGAUAGAUAGACCCAUAAAUUUUUUCUGAUUGAUUUUGAAAUACAUUGAUUUUGAUAUAUGGAAUAUCAAAAUCGGAGUUCGUAUGCGAAAGUUAUGGUUGUUUUACGAACGGACUCCGAAUUAGAGGACAAAACAGUCCGGAAGUGGGAAAAAGUUGCGGCGGUGGCUAUAAAUUGAUGGAAAUGGUGGGAAGAAACACAUGAAUUGGACUCUAACAAGACCUAACCAGCAACAAGAUCUCGACCAGGACACAAACUCAACACUACGGACUCUGAAACUGAAAUAUGCACAGGCUAUGGCGCGGAUGGGAUGUAGGACAUGAAAACAAUAUAGCAGUAGACUUAUGGGACGAACACAAGGACACUUGAAACUAAGGAUAGAUGUGAACCUAACGGUACGUCUGAAGCUUUGAUUAACACUUGAGGACAACAAGUGUGUCCCGAUCUUCCGAAAGGUUCUGGUAACUAUCGAUUUGGUGGAAACGAGACCCAAAUCAAUCCACCUUGCGAACAACGCGGUUUGAAACCCUGCAAUUCUUUUUAUUUUUUUGAUAUUUUUCUUUUACUUAGGAGCACUCAAGAAGUAACCACAGAAAAUUUGAGCUUAAAUAAGUGAAAGACGUGGUCUGUGGAAUUUUUUGAAGAUUGCGAAAAAUAUGAAAAUAAACUUUAAGAGGUGAAAACUCAAAAUUAGAGGCAAAUUUGGGGAUUCUAAAUUUGUCGAACCCACCAAUGGUGGGGAUAGACAGACCCAAAAAUUUUUUCUGAUUGAUUUUGAUUUAUGGAACGUCAAAAUCGGAGAUCGUAUGCGAAUGUUAUGGUUGUUUUAAGAACGGACUCAGAAUUAGAGGACAAAACAGUCCGGAAGUGGGAAAAAUUUGCGGCGGUGGCUAUAAAUUGAUGGAAACGGUGGGAAAAAACACACAAAUUGGACUCAAACAAGACCUAACCAGUAACAAGACCUCGACCAGGACACAAACUCAACACUACGGACUCUGAAACUGAAAUAUGCAAAGACUAUGGUGCGGAUGGGUUGUAGGACAUGAAAACAAUAUGGCACCAGACUUAUGGGACGAACACAAGGACACUCGAAACUAAGGGUAGAUGUGAACCUAACGUUAUCUCUGAAGCUUUGAUUACCACUUGAGGAGAAUAAGUGUGGCCUGAUCUUCCAAAAGUUUCUGGCAACUAUCGAUUUGGUGGAAAAGAGACACAAAUCAAUGCAGCUUGCGAACAACACAGUUCGAAACCUGCAAUUCUUUUUAUUUUUUUUUUGAUAUUUUUCUUUUACUUAGGAGCACUCAAGAAGUAACCACAGGAAAUUUGAGCUUGAACAAGAGAAAGACGUGGCCUGUGGAAACUUUUGAAGAUUGCGAAAAAUAUAAAGAAAACUUUAGGAGGUGAAAACUCAAACUUCAGAGGCGAAUUUGGGGAUUGUAAAUUUGUUGAACCCGCCAAUGGCGGGCAUAGACAGACAUCGAUUUUGAUAUAUGGAACGUCAAAAUCGGAGUUCGUAUGCGAAAGUUAUGGCUGUUUUACGAACGCACUCCGAAUUAGAGGACAAAACAGUCCGGAAGUGGGAAAAUUUGCGGCGGUGGCUAUAAAUUGAUGGAAACGGUGGGAAGAAACAUACAAAUUGGACUCUAACAAGACCUAACCAGUAACAAGACCUCGACCAGGACACAAACUCAACACUACGGACUCUGAAACUGAAAUAUGGAAAGGCUAUGGCGCGGAUGGGUUGUAGGACAUGAAAACAAUAUAGCACUAGACUUAUGGGACGAACACAAGGACACUCGAAACUAAGGAUAGAUGUGAACCUAACGGUACGUCUGAAGCUUUGAUUACCACUUGAGGAGAACAAGUGUGGCCCGAUCUUCCGAAAGGUUCUGGUAACUAUCGAUUUGGUAGAAACGAGACCCAAAUCAAUCCACCUUGCGAACAACAUGAUUCGAAACACUACAAUUCUUUUUAUUUUUUUUAUUUGUUAUUUUCUUUUACUUAGGAGCACCGAAGAAGUAGCCACAGGAAAUUUGAGCUUAAACAAGUGAAAGACGUGGCCUGUGGAAUUUUUUGUAGAUUGCAAAAAAUAUGAAAAUAAACUCUAGGAGGUGAAAACUCAAACUUCAGAGGCGAAUUUGGGGAUUCUAAAUUUGUCGAACCCGCCUUUGGGGGAUAGACAGACCCAAAAAAUUUUUCUAAUUGAUUUUGAUAUAUGGAACGUCAAAAUCGGAGUUCGUAUGCGAAAGUUAUGGCUGUUUUACGAACGGACCCCAAAUUAGAGGACAAAACAGUCCGGAUGUGGGAAAAAUUUGCGGCGGUGGUUAUAAAUUGAUGGAAACGGUGGGAAGAAACACACAAAUUGGACUCUAACAAGACCUAACCAGUAACAAGACCUUGACUAGGACACAAAACACUACGGACUCUGAAACUGAAAUAUGCAAAGGCUAUGGCGCGGAUGGGUUGUAGGACAUGAAAACAAUAUGGCACCAGACUUAUGGGACGAACACAAGGACACUCGAAACUAAGGGUAGAUGUGAACCUAACGGUAUGUCUGAAGCUUUGAUUACCACUUGAGGAGAAUAAGUGUGGCCCGAUCUUCCGAAAGGUUGUGGUAACUAUCGAUUUGGUGGAAAAGAGACACAAAUCAAUCGAGCUUGCGAACAACACGGUUCGAAACCUGCAAUUCUUUUUAUUUUUUUUGAUAUUUUUCUAUUACUUAGGAGCACUCAAGAAGUAACCAAAGGAAAUUUGAGCUUAAACAAGUGAAAGACGUGGCCUGUGGAAUUUUUUGAAGAUUGCGAAAAAUAUAAAAAAAACUUUAGGAGGUCAAAACUCAAACUUCAGGGGUGAAUUUGGGGAUUCUAAAAUUAUUGAACCCACCUCUAGCGGAGAUAGACAGAUCCAAAAAUUUGUUCUGAUCGAUUUUGAUAUAUGCAACGUCAAAAUCGGAGUUCGUAUGCGAAAGUUAUGGCUGUUUUACGAACGGACUCCGAAUUAGAGGACAAAACGUCCGGAAGUGGGAAAAAUUUGCGUUGGUGGCUAGAAAUUGAUGGAAACGGUAGGAAAAAACACACAAACUGGACUCAAACAAGACCUAACUAGUAACAAGACCUCGACCUGGACACAAUCUCAAAACUACGGAUUCUGAAACUGAAAUAUGCAAAGGCUAUAGCGCGGAUGGGUUGUAGGACAUGAAAACAAUAUGACACUAGACUUAUGAGACGAACACAAGGACACUCGAAACUAAGUGUAGAUGUGAACCUAACGGUAUGUCUGAUGCUUUGAUUACCACUUGAGGAGAACAAGUGUGGCCCGAUCUUCCAAAAGAUUCUGGUAACUGUCGAUUUCGUGGAAACGAGACACAAAUCAAUCCAGCUUGCGAACAACACGAUUCGAAACCCUACAAUCCUUUUUAUUUUUUUUUGAUGUUUUUCUUUUACUUAGGAGCACUCAAGAAGUAACCACUGGAAAUUUGAGCUUAAACAAGUGAAAGACGUGAGCUGUGGAAACUUUUGAAUAUUGCGAAAAAUAUGAAAAAAAAAUUUUGGAGGUGAAAACUCAAACUUCAGAGGCAAAUUUGGGGAUUCUAAAAUUGUCAAACCCGCACACGGCAGGGAUAGACAGAUCCAAAAAUUUGGUUUGAUCGAUUUUGAUAUAUGGAACGUCAAAAUCGGAGUUCGUAUGCGAAAAUUAUGGCUGCAUUACGAACGGACACCGAAUGAGAAGACAAAACGGUCCGGAAGUGGGAAAAAUUUGCGGCGGUGGCUAGAAAUUGAUGGAAACGGUGAGAAGAAACACAUAAAUUGGACUCUAACAAGACCUAACCAGUAACAAGAUCUCGACCAGGACACAAACUCAACACUACGGACUCUGAAACUGAAAUAUGCAAAGGCUAUGGCGCAGAUGGGUUGUAGGACAUGAAAACAAUAUAGCACUAGACUUUUAGGACGAACACAAGGACACUCGAAACUAAGGAUAGAUGUGAACCUAACGGUACGUCUGAAGCUUUGAUUACCACUUGAGGAGAACAAGUGUGGCCCGAUCUUCCGAAAGGUUCUGGUAACUAUCGAUUUGGUGGAAACGAGACGCAAAUCAAUCCACCUUGCGAACAACACGAUUUGAAACCCUACAAUUCUUUUUUUUAUUUGAUAUUUUUCUUUUACUUAGGAGCACCAAAGAAGUAGCCACAGGAAAUUUGAGCUUAAACAAGUGAAAGACGUGGCCUGUGGAAUUUUUUGUAGAUUGCGAAAAAUAUGAAAAUAAACUUUAGGAGGUGAAAACUCAAACAUCAGAGGCGAAUUUGGGGAUUCUAAAUUUGUCGAACCCGCUCUUUGCGAGGAUAGACAGACCCAAAAAUUUUUUCUGAUUGAUUUUGAUAUAUGGCACGUCAAAAUCGGAGUUCGUAUGCGAAAGUUAUGGCUGUUUUACGAAUGGACUCCGAAUUAGAGGACAAAACGGUCCGGAAGUGGGAAAAAUUUGUGGUGGUGGCUAGAAAUUGAUGGAAACGGUGGGAAGAAACACACAAAUUGGACUCUAACAAGACCUAACCAGUAACAAGACCUCGACCAGGAUACAAACUCAACACUACGGACUAUGAAACUGAAAUAUGCAAAGGGUAUGGCGCAGAUGGGUUGUGGGACAUGAAAACAGUAUGGCACCAGACUUAUGGGACGAACACAAGGACACUCGAAAUUAAGGGUAGAUGUGAACCUAACUGUAUGUCUGAAGCUUUGAUUACCACUUGAGGAGAAUAUGUGUGGCCCAAUCUUCUGAAAGGUUCUGGUAACUAUCGAUUUGGUGGAAAAGAGACACAAAUCAAUCCAGCUUGCGAACAACACGGUUCGAAACCUGCAAUUCUUUUUAUUUUUGUUGAUAUUUUUCAUUUACUUAGGAGCACUCAUGAAGUAACCACAGGAAAUUUGAGCUUAAACAAUUGAAAGACGUGGCCUGUGGAAUUUUUUGAAGAUUACAAAAAAUAUAAAAAAACUUUAGGAGGUCAAAACUCAAACUUCAGGGGCGAAUUUGGGGAUUCUAAAAUUAUUGAACCCGCCUCUAGCAGAGAUAGAUAGAUCCAAAAAUUUGUUCUGAUCGAUUUUGAUAUAUGGAACGUCAAAAUCGGACUUCGUAUGCGAAAGUUAUGGUUGUUUUACGAACGGACUCCGAAUUAGAGGACAAAACGGUCCGGAAGUGAGAAAAAUUUGCGGUGGUGGCUAGAAAUUGAUGGAAACGGUGGGAAAAAACACACAAAUUGGACUCAAACAAGACCUAACCAGUAACAAGACCUCGACCAGGACACAAACGCAAAACUACGGAUUCUGAAACUGAAAUAUGCAAAGGUUAUAGCGCGGAUGGGUUGUACGACAUGAAAACAAUAUGGCACUAGACUUAUGAGACGAGCACAAGGACACUCGAAACUAAGGGUAGAUGUGAACCUAACGGUAUGUCUGAUGCUUUGAUUACCACUUGAGGAGAACAAGUGUGGCCCGAUCUUCCAAAAGGUUCUAGAAACUAUCGAUUAAGUGGAAACGAGACACAAAUCAAUCCAGCUUGCGAACAACACGAUUCGAAACCCUACAAUUCUUUUUAUUUUUUUUGAUAUUUUUCUUUUACUUAGGAGCACUCAAGAAGUAACCAUAGGAAAUUUGAGGUUAAACAAGUGAAAGACGUGAGCUGUGGAAACUUUUGAAAAUUGCGAAAAAUAUGAAAAAAACUUUUGGAGGUGAAAACUCAAACUUUGGAGGUGAAUUUGGGGAUUCUAAAAUUGUCAAACCCGCACACGGCGGGGAUAGACAGAUCCAAAAAUUUGGUUUGAUCGAUUUUGAUAUAUGGAACGUCAAAAUCGGAGUUCGUAUGCGAAUGUUAUGUCUGUUUUACGAACGGACACCGAAUUAGAAGACAAAACGGUCCGGAAGUGGGAAAAAUUUGCGGCGGUGGCUAGAAAUUGAUGGAAACAGUGGGAAGAAACACACAAAUUAGACUCUAACAAGACCUAACCAGUAACAAGAUCUCGACCAGGAGACAAACUCAACACUACGGACUCUGAAACUGAAAUAUGCAAAGGCUAUGACGCGGAUGGGUUGUAGGACAUGAAAACAAUAUAGCACUAGACUUAUGGGACGAACACAAGGACACUCGAAACUAAGGAUAGAUGUGAAACUAACGGUACAUCUGAAGCUUUGAUUACCAAUUGAGGAGAACAAGUGUGGCCCGAUCUUCCGAAAGGUUCGGGUAACUAUCGAUUUGGUGGAAACGAGACCCAAAUCAGUCCACCUUGCGAACAACACGAUUCGAAACCCUACAAUUCUUUUCAUUUUUUUUAUUUGAUAUUUUGUUUUACUUAGGAGCACCGAAGAAGUAGCCAUAGAAAAUUUGAGCUUAAACAAGUGAAAGACGUGGCCUGUGGAAUUUUUUGUAGAUUGCGAAAAAUAUGAAAAUAAACUUUAGGAGGUGAAAACUCAAAUUUAGAGGCGAAUUUGGGGAUUCUAAAUUUGUCGAACCCGCCUACGGGGGGAUAGACAGACCCAAAAAUUUUUUCUGAUUGAUUUUGAAAUACAUUGAUUUUGAUAUAUGGAACAUCAAAACCGGAGUUCGUAUGCGAAAGUUAUGGUUGUUUUACGAACGGACUCCGAAUUAGAGGACAAAACAGUCCGGAAGUGGGAAAAAGUUGCGGCGGUGGCUAUAAAUUGAUGGAAAUGGUGGGAAGAAACACAUGAAUUGGACUCUAACAAGACCUAACCAGUAACAAGAUCUCGACCAGGACACAAACUCAACACUACGGACUCUGAAACUGAAAUAUGCACAGGCUAUGGCGCGGAUGGGAUGUAGGACAUGAAAACAAUAUAGCAGUAGACUUAUGGGACGAACACAAGGACACUUGAAACUAAGGAUAGAUGUGAACCUAACGGUACGUCUGAAGCUUUGAUUAACACUUGAGGACAACAAGUGUGUCCCGAUCUUCCGAAAGGUUCUGGUAACUAUCGAUUUGGUGGAAACGAGACCCAAAUCAAUCCACCUUGCGAACAACGCGGUUUGAAACCCUGCAAUUCUUUUUAUUUUUUUGAUAUUUUUCUUUUACUUAGGAGCACUCAAGAAGUAACCACAGAAAAUUUGAGCUUAAAUAAGUGAAAGACGUGGUAUGUGGAAUUUUUUGAAGAUUGCGAAAAAUAUGAAAAUAAACUUUAGGAGGUGAAAACUCAAAAUUAGAGGCGAAUUUGGGGAUUCUAAAUUUGUCGAACCCACCAAUGGUGGGGAUAGACAGACCCAAAAAUUUUUUCUGAUUGAUUUUGAUUUAUGGAACGUCAAAAUCGGAGAUCGUAUGCGAAAGUUAUGGUUGUUUUAAGAACGGACUCAGAAUUAGAGGACAAAACGGUCCGGAAGUGGGAAAAUUUUGCGGUGGUGGCUAUAAAUUGAUGGAAACGGUGGGAAUAAACACACAAAUUGGACUCUAACAAGACCUAACCAGUAACAAGAUCUUGACCAGGACACAAACUCAACACUACGGACUCUGAACUGCAAUGGCUAUGGCGCGGAUGGGUUGUAGGACAUGAAAACAAUAUAGCACUAGACUUAUGGGACGAACACAAGGACACUCGAAACUAAGGAUAUAUGUGAACCUAACGGUACGUCUGAAGCUUUGAUUAACACUUGGGGAGAACAAGUGUGGCCCGAUCUUCCGAAUGGUUCUGGUAACUAUCGAUUUGGUGGAAACGAGACACAAAUCAAUCCAGCUUACGAACAACACGAUUCGAAACCCUACAAUUCUUUUUAUUUUUUGUUUGAUAUUUUUAUUUUACUUAGGAGCACUCAAGAAGUAAGCACAUGAAAUUUGGGCUUAAACAAGUGAAAGACGUGACCUGUGGAAACUUUUGAAAAUUGCGAAAAAUAUGAAAAAAACUUUUGGAGGUGAAACCUCAAACUUUAGAGUGGAAUUUGGGGAUUUUUAAUUUGUUGAACCUGCCUAUGGGGGGAUAGACAGACCCAAAAAAUUUUUCUGAUUGAUUUUGAUAUAUGGAACGUCAAAAUCGGAGUUCGUAUGCGAAAGUUAUGGCUGUUUUACGAAUGGACUCCGAAUUAUAGGACAAAACAGUCCGGAAGUGGGAAAAAUUUGCGGCGGUGGCUAUAAGUUGAUGGAAACGGUGGGAAGAAACAUACAAAUUGGACUCUAACAAGACCUAACCAGUAACAAGAUCUCGACCAGGACACAAACUCAACACUACGGACUCUGAAACUGAAAUAUGCAAAGGCUAUGGCGCGGAUGGGUUGUAGGACAUGAAAACAAUAUAGCACUAGACUUAUGGGACGAACACAAGGACACUCGAAACUAAGGGUAGAUGUGAACCUAACGGUACGUCUGAAGCUUUGAUUACCACUUGAGGAGAACAAGGCCCGAUCUUCCGAAAGGUUCUGGUAACUAUCGAUUUGGUGGAAACGAGACACAAAUCAAUCCAGUUUGCGAACAACACGAUUCGAAACCCUGCAAUUCUUUUUUUUUUGAUAUUUUUCUUUUACUUAGGAGCACUGAAGAAGUAACCACAUGAAAUUUGAGCUUAAACAAGUGAAGGACGUGGCCUGUGGAAUUUUUUGAAGAUUGCGAAAAAUAUGAAAAUAAAGUUUAGGAGGUGAAAACUCAAAUUUUCAGAGGCGAGUUUGGGAAUUCUAAAUUUGUCGCACCCGCCUAUGGCGGGGAUAGACAGAUCCAAAAAUUUUUCUUAUCGAUUUUGAUAUAUGGAACGUCAAAAUCGGAGUUCGUAGGCGAAAGUUAUGGCUGUUUUACGAAUGGACUCUGAAUUAGAGGACAAAACGGUCCGGAAGUGGGAAAAAUUUGCGUUGGUGGCUAGAAAUUGAUGGAAACGGUGGGAAAAAACACACAAACUGGACUCUAACAAGACCAAAUCAGUAACAAGACCUCGACCAGGACACAAACUCAACACUAUGGAGUCUGAAACUGAAAUAUGCAAAGGUUAUGGCGCGGAUGGGUUGUAGGACAUGAAAACAAUUUGGCACUAGACUUAUGGGACGAACACAAGGACACUCAAAACUAAGGGUAGAUGUGAACCUAACGGUACGUCUGAAGCUUUGAUUACCACUUGAGGAGAACAAGGCCCGAUCUUCCGAAAGGUUCUGGUAACUAUCGAUUUGGUGGAAACGAGACACAAAUCAAUCCAGUUUGCGAACAACACGAUUUGAAACCCUGCAAUUCUUUUUAUUUUUUUGAUAUUUUUCUUUUACUUAGAAGCACUCAAAAAGUAACCACAGGAAAUUUGAGCUUAAACAAGUGAAGGACGUGGCCUGUGGAAUUUUUUGAAGAUUGCGAAAAAUAUGAAAAUAAAGUUUAGGAGGUGAAAACUCAAAUUUUUAGAGGCGAGUUUGGGAAUUCUAAAUUUGUCGCACCCGCCUAUGGUGGGGAUAGACAGAUCCAAAAAUUUUUCUGAUUGAUUUUGAUAUAUGGAACGUCAAAAUCGGAGUUCGUAGGCGAAAGUUAUGGCUGUUUUACGAACGGACUCUGAAUUAGAGGACAAAACGGUCCGGAAGUGGGAAAAUUUUGCGGUGGUGGCUAUAAAUUGAUGGAAACGGUGGGAAGGAACACACAAAUUGGACUCUAACAAGACCUAACCAGUAACAAGAUCUCGACCAGGACAAAAACUCAACACUACGGACUCUGAAACUGAAAUAUGCAAAGGCUAUGGCGCGGAUGGGUUGUAGGACAUGAAAACAAUAUAGCACUAGACUUAUGGGACGAACACAAGGACACUCGAAACUAAGGGUAGAUGUGAACCUAACGGUACGUCUGAAGCUUUGAUUACCACUUGAGGAGAACAAGGCCCGAUCUUCCGAAAGGUUCUGGUAACUAUCGAUUUGGUGGAAACGAGACACAAAUCAAUCCAGUUUGCGAACAACACGAUUCGAAACCCUGCAAUUCUUUUUUUUUGAUAUUUUUCUUUUACUUAGGAGCACUGAAGAAGUAACCACAUGAAAUUUGAGCUUAAACAAGUGAAGGACGUGGCCUGUGGAAUUUUUUGAAUAUUGCGAAAAAUAUUAAAAUAAAGUUUAGGAGGUGAAAACUCAAAUUUUCAGAGGCGAGUUUGGGAAUUCUAAAUUUGUCGCACCCGCCUAUGGCGGGGAUAGACAGAUCCAAAAAUUUUUCUGAUCGAUUUUGAUAUAUGGAACGUCAAAAUCGGAGUUCGUAGGCGAAAGUUAUGGCUGUUUUACGAACGGACUCUAAAUUAGAGGACAAAACGGUCCGGAAGUGGGAAAAAUUUGCGGUGGUGGCUAGAAAUUGAUGGAAACGGUGGGAAAAAACACACAAACUGGACUCUAACAAGACCAAAUCAGUAACAAGACCUCGACCAGGACACAAACUCAACACUAUGGAGUCUGAAACUGAAAUAUGCAAAGGUUAUGGCGCGGAUGGGUUGUAGGACAUGAAAACAAUUUGGCACUAGACUUAUGGGACGAACACAAGGACACUCGAAACUAAGGGUAGAUGUGAACCUAACGGUACGUCUGAAGCUUUGAUUACCACUUGAGGAGAACAAGGCCCGAUCUUCUGAAAGGUUCUGGUAACUAGCGAUUUGGUGGAAACGAGACACAAAUCAAUUCAGUUUGCGAACAACACGAUUCGAAACCCUGCAAUUCUUUUUAUUUUUUUGAUAUUUUUCUUUUACUUAGGAGCACUCAAGAAGUAACCACAGGAAAUUUGAGCUUAAACAAGUGAAGGACGUGGCCUGUGGAAUUUUUUGAAGAUUUCGAAAAAUAUGAAAAUAAACUUUAGGAGGUGAAAACUCAAAUUUUCAGAGGCGAGUUUGGGAAUUCUAAAUUUGUCGCACCCGCUAAGGUGGGGAUAGACAGAUCCAAAAAUUUUUCUGAUCGAUUUUGAUAUAUGGAACGUCAAAAUCGGAGUUCGUAGGUGAAAGUUAUGGCUGUUUUACGAACGGACUCUGAAUUAGAGGAUAAAACGGUCCGGAAGUGGGAAAAUUUUGCGGUGGUGGCUAUAAAUUGAUGGAAACGGAGGGAAGAAACACACAAAUUGGACUCUAACAAGACCUAACCAGUAACAAGAUCUCGACCAGGACACAAACUCAACACUACGGACUCUGAACUGAAAUAUGCAAAGGCUAUGGCGCGGAUGGGUUGUAGGACAUGAAAACAAUAUAGCACUAGACUUAUGGGACGAACACAAGGACACUCGAAACUAAGGAUAGAUGUGAACCUAACGGUACGUCUGAAGCUUUGAUUAACACUUGAGGAGAACAAGUGUGGCCCGAUCUUCCGAAUGGUUCUAGUAACUAUCAAUUUGGUGGAAACGAGACCCAAAUCAAUCCACCUUGCGAACAACGCGGUUCAAAACCCUGCAAUUCUUUUUAUUUUUUUUUUGAUAUUUUUCUUUUACCUAGGAGCACUCAAGAAUUAACCAUUGGAAAUUUGAGCUUAAACAAGUGAAAGACGUGGCCUGUGAAAUUUUUUGAAGAUUGCAAAAAAUAUAAAAAAACUUUAGGAGGUGAAAACUCAAACUUCAGGUGCGAAUUUGGGGAUUCUAAAAUUAUCGAACCCUCCUCUAGCAGAGAUGGACAGAUCCAAAAAUUUGUUCCGAUCGAUUUUAAUAUAUGGAACGUCAAAAUCGGAGUUCGUAUGCGAAAGUUAUGUCUGUUUUACGAACGGACUCCGAAUUAGAGGACAAAACGGUCCAGAAGUGGGGAAAAUUUGUGGUGGUGGCUAGAAAUUGAUGGAAACGGUGGGAAAAAACACACAAACUGGACUCUAACAAGACCAAAUCAGUAACAAGACCUCGACCAGGACACAAACUCAACACUACGGACUCUGAAACUGAAAUAUGCAAAGGUUAUGGCGCGGAUGGGUUGUAGGACAUGAAAACAAUUUGGCACUAGACUUAUGGGAUGAAUACAAGGACACUCGACACUAAGGGUAGAUGUGAACCUAACGGUACGUCUGAAGCUUUGAUUACCACUUAAGGAGAACAAGGCCCGAUCUUCCGAAAGGUUCUGUGGUAACUAUCGAUUUGGUGGAAACGAGACAGAAAUCAAUCCAGUUUGCGAACAACAUGAUUCGAAACCCUGCAAUUCUUUUUUUUGAUAUUUUUCUUUUACUUAGGAGCACUGAAGAAGUAACCACAAGAAAUUUGAACUAAAACAAGUGAAGGACGUGGCCUGUGGAAUUUUUUGAAGAUUGCGAAAAAUAUGAAAAUAAAGUUUAGGAGGUGAAAACUCAAAUUUUCAGAGGCGAGUUUGGGAAUUCUAAAUUUGUCGCACCCGCCUAUGGCGGGGAUAGACAGAUCCACAAAUUUUUCUGAUCGAUUUUGAUAUAUGGAACGUCAAAAUCGGAGUUCGUAGGCGAAAGUUAUGGCUGUUUUACGAACGGACUCUGAAUUAGAGGACAAAACGGUCCGGAAGUGGGAAAAUUUUGCGGUGGUGGCUAUAAAUUGAUAGAAACGGUGGGAAGAAACACACAAAUGGGACUCUAACAAGACCUAACCAGUAACAAGAUCUCGACCAGGACACAAACUCAACACUACGGACUCUGAACUGAAAUAUGGAAAGGCUAUGGCGUGGAUGGGUUGUAGGACAUGAAAACAAUAUAGCACUAGACUUUUGGGACAAACACAAGGACACUCGAAACUAAGGAUAGAUGUGAACCUAACGGUACAUCUGAAGCUUUGAUUAACACUUGAGGAGAACAAGUGUGGCCCGAUCUUCCGAAAGGUUCUACUAACUAUCAAUUUGGUGGAAACGAGACCCAAAUGAAUCCACCUUGCGAACAACGCGGUUCGAAACCCUGCAAUUCUUUUUUAUUUUUUUUGAUAUUUUUCUUUUACUUAGGAGUACUCAAGAAGUAACCACACGAAAUUUGAGCUUAAAAAAGUGAAAGACGUGGCCUGUGGAAUUUUUUGAAGAUUGCAAAAAAUAUAAAAAACUUUAGGAGGUGAAAACUCAAAAUUCAGGGGCGAAUUUGGGGAUUCUAAAAUUAUCAAACCCACCUCUAGCGGAGAUAGACAGAUCCAAAAAUUUGUUCUGAUCGAUUUUGAUAUAUGGAACGUCAAAAUCGGAGUUCGUAUGCGAAAGUUAUGGCUGUUUUACGAACGGACUCCGAAUUAGAGGACAAAACGGUCCGGAAGUGGGAAAAAUUUGUGGUGGUGGCUAGAAAUUGAUGGAAACGGUGGGAAAAAACAUACAAACUGGACUCUAACAAGACCAAAUCAGUAACAAGACCUUGACUAGGACACAAACUCAACACUACGGACUCUGAAACUGAAAUAUGCAAAGGUUAUGGCGCAGAUGGAUUGUAGGACAUGAAAACAAUUUGACACUAGACUUAUGGGACGAACACAAGGACACUCGAAACUAAGGGUACAUGUGAACCUAACGGUACGUCUGAAGCUUUGAUUACCACUUGAGGAGAACAAGGCCCGAUCUUCCGAAAGGUUCUGGUAACUAUCGAUUUGGUGGAAACGAGGCACAAAUCAAUCCAGUUUGCGAACAACACGAUUCGAAACCCUGCAAUUCUUUUUUUUAUAUAUUUUUCUUUUACUUAGGAGCACUGAAGAAGUAACCACAAGAAAUUUGAGCUUAAACAAGUGAAGGACAUGGCCUGUGGAAUUUUUUGAAGAUUGUGAAAAAUAUGAAAAUAAAGAUUAGGAGGUGAAAACUCAAAUUUUCAGAGGCGAGUUAGGGAAUUCUAAAUUUGUCGCACCCGCCUAUGGCGGGGAUAGACAAAUCCAAAAUUUUUUCUGAUCGAUUUUGAUAUAUGGAACGUCAAAAUCGGAGUUCGUAGGCGAAAGUUAUGGCUGUUUUACGAACCGACUCUGAAUUAGAGGACAAAACGGUCCGGAAGUGGGAAAAAUUUGCGGUGGUGGCUAUAAAUUGAUGGAAACGGUGGGAAGAAACACACAAAUUGGACUCUAACAAGACCUAACCAGUAACAAGAUCUCGACCAGGACACAAACUCAACACUACGGACUCUAAAACUGAAAUAUGCAAAGGCUAUGGCGCAGAUGGGUUGUAGGACAUGAAAACAAUAUAGCACUAGACUUAUGGGACGAACACAAGGACACUCGAAACUAAGGAUAGAUGUGAACCUAACGGUACGUCUGAAGCUUUGAUUAACACUUGAGGAGAACAAGUGUGGCCCGAUCUUUCGAAAGGUUCUAGUAACUAUCAAUUUGGUGGAAACGAGAUCCAAAUCAAUCCAUCUUGCGAAGAACGCGGUUCGAAACCCUGCAAUUCUUUUUUUUUGAUAUUUUUCUUUUACUUGGGAGCACUGAAGAAGUAACCACAGGAAAUUUGAGCUUAAACAAGUGAAAGACUUGGCCUGUGGAAUUUUUUGAAUAUUGCGAAAAAUAUAAAAAAACUUUAGGAGGUGAAAACUCAAACUUCAGGGGUGAAUUUGGGGAUUCUAAAAUUAACGAACCCACCUCUAGCGGAGAUAGACAGAUCCAAAAAUUUCUUCUCAUCGAUUUUGAUAUAUGGAACGUCAAAAUCGGAGUUCGUAUGCGAAAGUUAUGGCUGUUUUAGGAACGGACUCCGAAUUAGAGGACAAAACGGUCCGGAAGUGGGAAAAAUUUGUGGUGGUGGCUAGAAAUUGAUGGAAACGGUGGGAAAAAACACGCAAACUGGACUCUAACAAGACCAAAUCAGUAACAAGACCUUGACCAGGACACAAACUCAACAUUACGGACUCUGAAACUGAAAUAUGCAAAGGUUAUGGCGCGGAUGGGUUGUAGGACAUGAAAACAAUUUGGCACUAGACUUAUGGGACGAACACAAGGACACUCGAAACUAAGGGUAGAUGUGAACCUAACGGUACGUCUGAAGCUUUGAUUACCACUUGAGGAGAACAAGGCCCGAUCUUCCGAAAGGUUCUGGUAACUAUCGAUUUGGUGGAAACGAGACACAAAUCAAUCCAGUUUGCUAACAACACGAUUCGAAACCCUGCAAUUCUUUUUUUUUAUAUAUUUUUCUUUUACUUAGGAGCACUGAAGAAGUAACCACAAGAAAUUUGAGCUUAAACAAGUGAAGGACAUGGCUUGUGGAAUUUUUUGAAGAUUGCGAAAAAUAUGAAAAUAAUGUUUAGGAGGUGAAUACUCAAAUUUUCAGAGGCGAGUUUGGGAAUUCGAAAUAUGUCGCACCCGCCUAUGGCGGGGAUAGACAGAUCCACAAAAUUUUCUGAUCGAUUUUGAUAUAUGGAACGUCAAAAUCGGAGUUCGUAGGCGAAAGUUAUGGCUGUUUUACGAACGGACUCUGAAUUAGAGGACAAAACGGUCCGGAAGUGGGAAAAUUUUGCGGUGGUGGCUACAAAUUGAUAGAAACGGUGGGAAGAAACACACAAAUUGGACUCUAACAAGACCUAGCCAGUAACAAGAUCUCGACCAGGACACAAACUCAACACUACGGACUCUGAACUGAAAUAUGGAAAGGCUAUGGCGCGGAUGGGUUGUAGGACAUGAAAACAAUAUAGCACUAGACUUUUGGGACAAACACAAGGACACUCGAAACUAAGGAUAGAUGUGAACCUAACGGUACAUCUGAAGCUUUGAUUAACACUUGAGGAGAACAAGUGUGGCCCGAUCUUCCGAAAGGUUCUACUAACUAUCAAUUUGGUGGAAACGAGACCCAAAUCAAUCCACCUUGCGAACAACGCGGUUCGAAACCCUGCAAUUCUUUUUUAUUUUUUUUUGAUAUUUUUCUUUUACUUAGGAGCACUCAAGAAGUAACCACACGAAAUUUGAGCUUAAAAAAGUGAAAGACGUGGCCUGUGGAAUUUUUUGAAGAUUGCAAAAAAUAUAAAAAAAACUUUAGGAGGUGAAAACUCAAAAUUCAGGGGCGAAUUUGGGGAUUCUAAAAUUAUCGAACCCACCUCUAGCGGAGAUAGACAGAUCCAAAAAUUUGUUCUGAUCGAUUUUGAUAUAUUGAACGUCAAAAUCGGAGUUCGUAUGCGAAAGUUAUGGCUGUUUUACGAACGGACUCUGAAUUAGAGGACAAAACGGUCCGGAAGUGGGAAAAAUUUACGGUGGUGGCUAGAAAUUGAUGGAAACAGUGGGAAAAAACACACAAACUGGAAUGUAACAAGACCUAACCAGUAACAAGACCUCGACCAGGACACAAACUCAACACUACGGACUCUGAAACUGAAAUAUGCAAAGGUUGUGGCGCGGAUGGGUUGUAGGAAAUGAAAACAAUUUGGCACUAGACUUAUGGGACGAAGACAAGGACACUCGAAACUAAGGGUAGAUGUGAACCUAACGAUACGUAUGAAGCUUUGAUUACAACUUCAGGAGAACAAGGCCCGAUCUUCCGAAAGGUUCUGGUAACUAUCAAUUUGGUGGAAACGAGACCCAAAUCAGUCCACCUUGCGAACAACGCGGUUCGAAACCCUGCAAUUCUUUUUAUUUUUUUUGAUAUUUUUUAUUUACUUAGGAGCACUCAAGAAGUAACCACCGGAAAUUUGAGCUUAAACAAGUUAAAGACGUGGCCUGUGGAAUUUUUUGAAGAUUGCGAAAAAUAUAAAAAAAACUUUAGGACGUGAAAACUCAAACUUCAGGGGCGAAUUUGGGGAUUCUAAAAUUAUCGCACCUGCCUCUAGCAGAGAUAGACAGAUCCAAAAAUUUGUUCUGAUCGAUUUUGAUAUAUGGAACGCCAAAAUCGGAGUUCGUAUGCGAAAGUUAUGGCUGUUUUGCGAACGGACUCUGAAUUAGAGGACAAAACGGUCCGGAAUUGGGAAAAAUUUGUGGUGGUGGCUAGAAAUUGAUGGAAACGGUGGGAAAAAACACACAAACUGGACUCUAACAAGACCAAAUCAGUAACAAGACCUUGACCAGGACACAAACUCAACACUACGGACUCUGAAACUGAAAUAUGCAAAGGUUAUGGCGCGGAUGGGUUGUAGGACAUGAAAACAAUUUGGCACUAGACUUAUGGGACGAACACAAGGACACUCGAAACUAAAGGUAGAUGUGAACCUAACGGUACGUCUGAAGCUUUGAUUACCACUUGAGGAGAACAAGGCUUGAUCUUCCGAAAGGUUGUGGUAACUAUCGAUUUGGUGGAAACGAGACACAAAUCAAUCCAGUUUGCUAACAACACGAUUCGAAACCCUGCAAUUCUUUUUUUUAUAUAUUUUUCUUUUACUUAGGAGCACUGAAGAAGUAACCACAAGAAAUUUGAGCUUAAACAAGUGAAGGACAUGGCCUGUGGAAUUUUUUGAAGAUUGCGAAAAAUAUGAAAAUAAUGUUUAGGAGGUGAAUACUCAAAUUUUCAGAGGCGAGUUUGGGAAUUCUAAAUUUGUCACACCCGCCUAUGGCGGGGAUAGACAAAUCCAAAAAUUUUUUUGAUCGAUUUUGAUAUAUGGAACGUCAAAAUCAGAGUUCGUAGGCGAGAGUUAUGGCUGUUUUACGAACAGACUCUGAAUUAGAGGACAAAACGGUCCGGAAGUGGGAAAAAUUUGCGGUGGUGGCUAUAAAUUGAUGGAAACAGUGGGAAGAAACACACAAAUUGGACUCUAACAAGACCUAACUAGUAACAAGAUCUCGACCAGGACACAAACUCAACACUACGGACUCUGAAACUGAAAUAUGCAAAGGCUAUGGCGCGGAUGGGUUGUAGGACAUGAAAACAAUAUAGCACUAGACUUAUGGGACGAACACAAGGACACUCGAAACUAAGGAUAGAUGUGAACCUAACGGUACGUCUGAAGCUUUGAUUAACACUUGAGGAGAACAAGUGUGGCCCGAUCUUCCGAAAGGUUCUAGUAACUAUCAAUUUGGUGGAAACGAGAUCCAAAUCAACCCAUCUUGCGAACAACGCGGUUCGAAACCCUGCAAUUCUUUUUUUUUGAUAUUUUUCUUUUACUAAGGAGCAGUCAAGAAGUAACCACAGGAAAUUUGAGCUUAAACAAGUGAAAGACUUGGCCUGUGGAAUUUUUUGAAUAUUGCAAAAAAUAUAAAAAAACUUUAGGAAGUGAAAACUCAAACUUCAGGGGCGAAUUUGGGGAUUCUAAAAUUAUCGAACCCACCUCUAGCGAAGAUAGACAGAUCCAAAAAUUUCUUCUCAUCGAUUUUGAUAUAUGGAACGUCAAUAUCUGAGUUCGUAUGCGAAAGUUAUGGCUGUUUUACGAACGAACUCCGAAUUUGAGGACAAAACGGUCCGGAAGUGGGAAAAAUUUGUGGUGGUGGCUAGAAAUUGAUGGAAACGGUGGGAAAAAACACACAAACUGGACUCUAACAAGACCAAAUCAGUAACAAGACCUCGACCAGGACACAAACUCAACACUACGGACUCUGAAACUGAAAUAUGCAAAGGUUGUGGCGCGGAUGGGUUGUAGGAAAUGAAAACAAUUUGGCACUAGACUUAUGGGACGAAGACAAGGACACUCGAAACUAAGGGUAGAUGUGAACCUAACGGUACGUAUGAAGCUUUGAUUACAACUUCAGGAGAACAAGGCCCGAUCUUCCGAAAGGUUCUGGUAACUAUCGAUUUGGUGGAAACGAGACCCAAAUCAGUCCACCUUGCGAACAACGCGGUUCGAAACCCUGCAAUUCUUUUUAUUUUUUUUGAUAUUUUUUAUUUACUUAGGAGCACUCAAGAAGUAACCACCGGAAAUUUGAGCUUAAAUAAGUUAAAGACGUGGCCUGUGGAAUUUUUUGAAGAUUGCGAAAAAUAUAAAAAAAACUUUAGGAGGUGAAAACUCAAACUUCAGGGGCGAGUUUGGGGAUUCUAAAAUUAUCGCACCCGCCUCUAGCCAAGAUAGACAGAUCCAAAAAUUUGUUCUCAUCGAUUUUGAUAUAUGGAACGUCAAAAUCGGAGUUCGUAUGCGAAAGUUAUGGCUGUUUUGCGAACGGACUCCGAAUUAGAGGACAAAACGGUCUGGAAUUGGGAAAAAUUUGUGGUGGUGGCUAGAAAUUGAUGGAAACGGUGGGAAAAAACACACAAACUAGACUCUAACAAGACCAAAUCAGUAACAAGACCUUGACCAGGACACAAACUCAACACUACGGACUCUGAAACUGAAAUAUGCAAAGGUUAUGGCGCGGAUGGGUUGCAGGACAUGAAAACAAUUUGGCACUAGACUUAUGGGACGAACACAAGGACACUCGAAACUAAAGGUAGAUGUGAACCUAACGGUACGUCUGAAGCUUUGAUUACCACUUGAGGAGAACAAGGCCUGAUCUUCUGAAAGGUUGUGGUAACUAUCGAUUUGGUGGAAACGAGACACAAAUCAAUCCAGUUUGCGAACAACACGAUUGGAAACCCAGCAAUUCUUUUUUUUUUAUGUUUUUAUUUUACUUAGGAGCACUCAAGAAGUAACCACAAGAAAUUUGAGCUUAAACAAGUGAAGGACGUGGCCUGUGGAAUUUUUUGAAGUUUGCGAAAAAUAUGAAAAUAAUGUUUAGGAGGUGAAAACUCAAAUUUUCAGAGGCGAGUUUGGGAAUUCUAAAUUUGUCGCACCCGCCUAUGGCGGGGAUAGAUAGAUCUAAAAAAUUUUCUGAUCGAUUUUGAUAUAUGGAACGUCAAAAUCGGAGUUCGUAGGCGAAAGUUAUGGCUGUUUUACGAACGGACUCUGAAUUAGAGGACAAAUCGGUCCGGAAGUGGGAAAGUUUUGCGGUGGUGGUUAUAAAUUGAUGGAAACGGUGGGAAGAAACACACAAAUUGGACUCUAACAAGACCUAACCAGUAACAAGAUCUCGACCAGGACACAAACUCAACACUACGGACUGAACUGAAAUAUGCAAAGGCUAUGGCGCGGAUGGGUUGUAGGACAUGAAAACAAUAUAGCACUAGACUUAUGGGACGAACACAAGGACACUCGAAACUAAAGAUAGAUGUGAACCUAACGGUACGUCUGAAGCUUUGAUUAACACUUGAGGAGAACAAGUGUGGCCCGAUCUUCCGAAAGGUUCUAGUAACUAUCAAUUUGGUGGAAACGAGACCCAAAUCAAUCCACCUUGCGAACAACGCGGUUCAAAACCCUGCAAUUCUUUUUAUUUUUUUUGAUAUUUUUCUUUUAUUUAGGAGCACUCAAGAAGUAACCACAGGAAAUUUGAGCUUAAACAAGUGAAAGACAUGGCCUGUGGAAUUUUUGGAAGAUUGCGAAAAAUAUAAAAAAAACUUUAGGAGGUGAAAACUCAAACUUCAGGGGCAAAUUUGGGGAUUCUAAAAUAAUCGAACCCACCUCUAGCAGAGAUAGACAGAUCCAAAAAUUUGUUCUGAUCGACUUUGAUAUAUGGAACGUCAAAAUCGGAGUUCGUAUGAGAAAGUUAUGGUUGUUUUACGAACGGACUCCGAAUUAGAGGACAAAACGGUCCGGGAGUGGGAAAAAUUUGUGGUGGUGGUUAGAAAUUGAUGGAAACGGUGGGAAAAAACAUACAAACUGGACUCUAACAAGACCAAAUCAGUAACAGGACCUCGACCAGGACACAAACUCAACACUACGGACUCUGAAACUGAAAUAUGCAAAGGUUAUGGCGCGCAUGGGUUAUAGGACAUGAAAACAAUUUGGCACUAGACUUAUGGGACGAACACAAGGACACUCGAAACUAAGGGUAGAUGUGAACCUAACGGUACGUCUGAAGCUUUGAUUACCACUUGAGGAGAACAAGGCCCGAUCUUCCGAAAGGUUCUGGUAACUGUCGAUUUGGUUGAAACGAGACACAAAUCAAUCCAGUUUGCGAACAACACGAUUCGAAACCCUACAAUUCUUUUUAUUGAUAUUUUUCUUUUACUUAGGAGCACUGAAGAAGUAACCACAAGAAAUUUGAGCUUAAACAAGUGAAGGACGUGGCCUGUGGAAUUUUUUGAAGAUUGCGAAAAAUAUGAAAAUAAAGUUUAGGAGGUGAAAACUCAAAUUUUCAGAGGCGAGUAUGGGAAUUCUAAAUUUGUCGCACCGGCCUAUGGCGGGGAUAGACAGAUCCAAAAAAUUUUCUGAUCGAUUUUGAUAUAUGGAACGUCAAAAUCGGAGUUCGUAGGCGAAAGUUAUGGCUGCUUUACGAACGGACUCUGAAUUAUAGGACAAAACGGUCCGGAAGUGGGAAAAAUUUGCGGUGGUGGCUAGAAAUUAAUGGAAACGGUGGGAAAAACACACAAACUGGACUCUAACAAGACCAAAUUAGUAACAAGACCUCGACCAGGACACAAACUCAACACGGACUAUGAAACUGAAAUAUGCAAAGGUUAUGGCGCGGAUGGGUUGUAGGACAUGAAAACAAUUUGGCACUAGACUUAUGGGACGAACACAAGGACACUCGAAACUAAGGGUAGAUGUGAACCUAACGGUACGUCUGAAGCUUUGAUUACCACUUGAGGAGAACAAGGCCCGAUCUUCCGAAAGGUUCUGGUAACUAUCAAUUUGGUGGAAACGAGACACAAAUUAAUCCAGUUUGCGAACAACACGAUUCCAAACCCUGCAAUUCUUUUUAUUUUUUUUGAUAUUUUUUUUUACUUCGGAGCACUCAAGAAGUAACCACAGAAAAUUUGAGCUUAAACAAGUGAAGGACGUGGCCUGUGGAAUUUUUUGAAGAUUGCGAAAAAUAUGAAAAUAAAGUUUAGGAGGUGAAAACUCAAAUUUUCAGAGGCGAGUUUGGGAAGUCUAAAUUUGUCGCACCCGCCUAUGGUGGGGAUAGACAGAUCCAAAAAUUUUUCUGAUCGAUUUUGAUAUAUGGAACGUCAAAAUCAGAGUUCGUAGGCGAAAGUUAUGGCUGUUUUACGAACGGACUCUGAAUUAGAGGACAAAACGGUCCGGAAGUGGGAAAAUUUUGCGGUGGUGGCUAUAAAUUGAUGGAAACGGUGGGAAGAAACACACAAAUUGGACUCUAACAAGAUCUAACCAGUAACAAGAUCUCGACUAGGACACAAAAUCAACACUACAGACUCUGAAACUGAAAUAUGCAAAGGCUAUGGCGCGGAUGGGUUGUAGGACAUGAAAACAAUAUAGCACUAGACUUAUGGGACGAACACAAGGACACUCGAAACUAAGGAUAGAUGUGAACCUAACGGUACGUCUGAAGCUUUGAUUAACACUUGAGGAGAACAAGUGUGGCCCGAUCUUGCGAAAGGUUCUAGUAACUAUCAAUUUGGUGGAAACGAGACCCAAAUCAAUCCAUCUUGCGAACAACGCGGUUCGAAACUCUGCAAUUCUUUUUAUUUUUUUUUGAUAUUUUUAUUUUACUUAGGAGCACUCAAGAAGUAACCAUAGGAAAUUUGAGCUUAAACAAGUGAAAGACUUGGCCUGUGGAAUUUUUUGAAGAUUGCGAAAAAUAUAAAAAAACAUUAGGAGGUGAAAACUCAAACUUCAGGAGCGAAUUUGGGGAUUCUAAAAUUAUCGAACCCACCUCUAGCGGAGAUAGACAGAUCCAAAAAUUUGUUGUGAUCGAUUCUGAUAUAUGGAACGUCAAUAUCGGAGUUCGUAUGCGAAAGUUAUGGCUGUUUUACGAACGGACUCCGAAUUAGAGGACAAAACGGUCCGGAAGUGGGAAAAAUUUGUGGUGGUGGCUAGAAAUUGAUGGAAACGGUGGGAAAAAACACACAAACUGGACUCUAACAAGACCAAAUCAGUAACAAGACCUCGACCAGGACACAAACUCAACACUACGGACUCUGAAACUGAAAUAUGCAAAGGUUAUGGCGCGGAUGGGUUGUAGGACAUAAAAAUAAUUUGGCACUAGACUUAUGGGAGGAACACAAGGACACUCAAAACUAAGGGUAGAUGUGAACCUAACGGUACGUCUCAAGCUUUGAUUACCACUUGAGGAGAACAAGGCCCGAUCUUCCGAAAGGUUCUGGUUACUAUCGAUUUGGUGGAAACGAGACACAAAUCAAUCCAGUUUGCGAACAACACGAUUCGAAACCCUACAAUUCUUUUUUUUGAUAUUUUUCUUUUAAUUAGGAGCACUCAAGAAGUAACCACAAGAAAUUUGAGCUUAAACAAGUGAAGGACGUGGCCUUUGGAAUUUUUUGAAGAUUGCGAAAAAUAUGAAAAUAAAGUUUAGGAGGUGAAAACUCAAAUUUUCAGAGGCGAGUUUGGGAAUUCUAAAUUUGUCGCACCCGCCUAUGGCGGGGAUAGACAAAUCCAAAAAUUUUUCUGAUCGACUUUGAUAUAUGGAACGUCAAAAUCGGAGUUCGUAGGCGAAAGUUAUGGCUGUUUUACGAACGGACUCUGAAUUAGAGGACAAAACGGUGCGGAAGUGGGAAAAAAUUGCGGUGGUGGCUAGAAAUUGAUGGAAACGGUGGGAAAAACACACAAACUGGACUCUAACAAGACCAAAUUAGUAACAAGACCUCGACCAAGACACAAACUCAACACUACGGACUAUGAAACUCAAAUAUGCAAAGGUUAUGGCGCGGAUGGGUUGUAGGACAUGAAAACAAUUUGGCACUAGACUUAUGGGACGAACGCAAGGACACUCGAAACUAAGGGUAGAUGUGAACCUAACGGUACGUCUGAAGCUUUGAUUACCACUUGAGGAGAACAAGGCCCGAUCUUCCGAAAGGUUCUGGUAACUAUCGAUUUCAUGGAAACGAGACACAAAUUAAUCCAGUUUGCGAACAACACGAUUCGAAACCCUGCAAUUCUUUUUAUUUUUUUGAUAUUUUUCUUUUACUUAGGAGCACUCAAGAAGUAACCACAGGAAAUUUGAGCUUAAACAAGUGAAGGACGUGGCCUGUGGAAUUUUUUGAAGAUUGCGAAAAAUAUGAAAAUAAAGUUUAGGAGGUGAAAACUCAAAUUUUCAGAGGCGAGUUUGGGAAUUCUAAAUUUGUCGCACCCGCCUAUGGUGGGGCUAGACAGAUCCAAAAAUUUUUCUGAUCGAUUUUGAUAUAUGAAACGUCAAAAUCAGAGUUCGUAGGCGAAAGUUAUGGCUGUUUUACGAACGGACUCUGAAUUAGAGGACAAAACGGUCCGGAAGUGGGAAAAUUUUGUGGUGGUGGCUAUAAAUUGAUGGAAACGGUGGGAAGAAACACACAAAUUGGACUCUAACAAGACCUAACCAGUAACAAGAUCUCGACCAGGACACAAACUCAACACUACAGACUCUGAAACUGAAAUAUGCAAAGGCUAUGGCGCGGAUGGGUUGUAGGACAUGAAAACAAUAUAGCACUAGACUUAUGGGACGAACACAAGGACACUCGAAACUAAGUAUAGAUGUGAACCUAACGGUACGUCUGAAGCUUUGAUUAACACUUGAGGAGAACAAGUGUGGCCCGAUCUUCCGAAAGGUUCUAGUAACUAUCAAUUUGGUGGAAACGAGACCCAAAUCAAUCCAUCUUGCGAACAACGCGGUUCGAAACCCUGCAAUUCUUUUUAUUUUUUUUGAUAUUUUUCUUUUACUUAGGAGCACUCAAGAAGUAACCAUAGGAAACUUCAGCUUAAACAAGUGAAAGACUUGGCCUGUGGAAUUUUUUGAAGAUUGCGAAAAAUAUAAAAAAACUUUAGGAGGUGAAAACUCAAACUUUAGGAGCGAAUUUGGGGAUUCUAAAAUUAUUGAACCCACCUCUAGCGGAGAUAGACAGAUCUAAAAAUUUGUUGUGAUCGAUUUUGAUAUAUGGAACGUCAAUAUCGGAGUUCAUAUGCGAAAGUUAUGGCUGUUUUACGAACGGACUCCAAAUUAGAGGACAAACGGAAGUGGGAAAAAUUUGUGGUGGUGGCUAGAAAUUGAUGGAAACGGUGGGAAAAAACACACAAACUGGACUCUAACAAGACCAAAUCAGUAACAAGACCUCGACCAGGACAGAAACUCAACACUACGGACUCUGAAACUGAAAUAUGCAAAGGUUAUGGCGCGGAUGGGUUGUAGGACAUGAAAACAAUUUGGCACUAGACUUAUGGGAGGAACACAAGGACACUCGAAACUAAGGGUAGAUGUGAACCUAACAGUACGUCUGAAGCUUUGAUUACCACUUGAGGAGAACAAGGCCCGAUCUUCCGAAAGCUUCCGGUAACUAUCGAUUUGGUGGAAACGGGACACAAAUCAAUCCAGUUUGCGAACAACACGAUUCGAAACCCUGCAAUUCUUUUUUUUGAUAUUUUUCUUUUACUUAAGAGCACUGAAGAAGUAACCACAAGAAAUUUGAGCUUAAACAAGUGAACGACGUGGCCUGUGGAAUUUUUUGAAGAUUGCGAAAAAUAUGAAAAUAAAGUUUAGGAGGUGAAAACUCAAAUUUUCAGAGGCGAGUUUGGGAAUUCUAAAUUCGUCGCACCCGCCUAUGGCUGGGAUAGACAGAUCCAAAAUUUUUUCUGAUCGAUUUUGAUAUAUGGAACGUCAAAAUCGGAGUUCGUAGGCGAAAGUUAUGGCUGUUUUACGAACGGACUACGAAUUAGGGGACAAAACAGUCCGGAAGUAGGAAAAUUUUGCGGUGGUGGCUAUAAAUUGAUGGAAAGGGUGGGAAGAAACACACAAAUUGGACUCUAACAAGAUCUAACCAGUAACAUGAUCUCGACUAGGACACAAACUCAACACUACGGGCUCUGAAACUGAAAUAUGCAAAGGCUGUGGCGCGGAUGGGGUGUAGGACAUGAAAACAAUAUAGCACUAGGCUUAUGGGACGAACACAAGGACACUCGAAACUAAGGAUAGAUAUGAACCUAACGGUACGUCUGGAGCUUUGAUUAACACUUGAGGAGAACAAGUGUGGCCCGAUCUUCCGAAAGGUUCUAGUAACUAUCAGUUUUGUGGAAACGAGACCCAAAUCAAUCCAUCUUGCGAACAACACGGUUCGAAACUAUGCAAUUUUUUUUUUGAUAUUUUUCUUUUACUUAGGAGCACUCAAGAAGUAACCAUAGGAAAUUUGAGCUUAAACAAGUGAAAGACUUGGCCUGUGAAAUUUUUUGAAGAUUACGAAGAAUAUAAAAAAACUUUAGGAGGUGAAAACUCAAACUUCAGGGGCGAAUUUGGGGAUUCUAAAAUUAUCGAACCCACCUCUAGCAAAGAUAGACAGAUCCAAAAAUUUGUUCUGAUCGAUUUUGAUAUAUGGAACGUCAAUAUCGGAGUUCCUAUGCGAAAGUUAUGGCUGUUUUACGAACGGACUCUGAAUUAGAGGACAAAACGGUCCGGAAGUGGGAAAAUUUUACGGUGGUGGCUAUAAAUUGAUGGAAACGGUGGGAAGAAACACACAAAUUGGACUCUAACAAGACCUAACCAGUAACACUGAAACUGAAAUAUGUAAAGGCUAUGGCGCGGAUGGGUUGUAGGACAUGAAAACAAUAUAGCACUAGACUUAUGGGACGGACAUAAGGACACUCGAAACUAAGGAUAGAUAUGAACCUAACGGUACGUCUGAAGCUUUGAUUAACACUUGAGGAGAACAAGUGUGGCCCGAUCUUCCGAAAGGUUCUAGUAACUAUCAAUUUGGUGGAAACGAGACCCAAAUCAAUCCAUCUUGCGAACAACGCGAUUCGAAACCCUGCAAUUCUUUUUAUUUUUUUUGAUAUUUUUCUUUUACUUAGGAGCACUCAAGAAGUAACCAUAGGAAAUUUGAGCUUAAACAAGUGAAGGACGUGGCCUGUGGAAUUUUUUGAAGAUUGCGAAAAAUAUAAAAAAACUUUAGGAGGUGAAGACUCAAACUUCAGGGGCGAAUUUGGGGAUUCUAAAAUUAUCGAACCCACCUCUAGCAGAGAUAGACAGAUCCAAAAAUUUGUUCUGAUCGAUUUUGAUAUAUGGAACGUCAAUAUCGGAGUUCGUAUGCGAAAGUUAUGACUGUUUUACGAACGGACUCCGAAUUAGAGGACAAAACGGUCCGGAAGUGGGAAAAAUUUGUGGUGGUGGCUAGAAAUUGAUGGAAACGGUGGGAAAAAACACACAAACUGGACUCUAACAAGACCAAAUCAGUAACAAGACCUCGACCAGGACACAAACUCAACACUACGGAAUCUGAAACUGAAAUAUGCAAAGGUUAUGGCGCGGAUGGGUUGUAGGACAUGAAAACAAUUUGGCACUAGACUUAUGGGAGGAACACAAGGACACUCGAAACUAAGGGUAGAUGUGAACCUAACAGUACGUCUGAAGCUUUGAUUACCACUUGAGGAGAACAAGGCCCGAUCUUCCGAAAGGUUCUUUUAACUAUCGAUUUCGUGGAAACGAGACACAAAUCAAUCCAGUUUGCGAACAACACGAUUCGAAACCCUACAAUUCUUUUUUUUGAUAUUUUUCUUUUACUUAGGAGCACUGAAGAAGUAACCACAAGAAAUUUGAGCUUAAACAAGUGAAGGACGUGGCCUGUGGAAUUUUUUGAAGAUUGCGAAAAAUAUGAAAAUAAAGUUUAGGAGGUGAAAACUCAAAUUUUCAGAGGCGAGUUUGGGAAUUCUAAAUUCGUCGCACCCGCCAAUGGCUGGGAUAGAUAGAUCCAAAAAUUUUUCUGAUCGAUUUUGAUAUAUGGAACGUCAAAAUCGGAGUUCGUAGGCGAAAGUUAUGGCUGUUUUACGAACGGACUCCGAAUUAGGGGACAAAACAGUCCGGAAGUGGGAAAAUUUUGCGGUGGUGGCUAUAAAUUGAUGGAAAGGGUGGGAAGAAACACACAAAUUGGACUCUAACAAGACCUAACCAGUAACAAGAUCUCGACCAGGUCACAAACUCAACACUACGGACUCUGAAACUGAAAUAUGCAAAGGCUAUGGCGCGGAUGGGUUGUAGGACAUGAAAACAAUAUAGCACUAGACUUAUGGGACGAACACAAGGACACUCGAAACUAAGGAUAGAUAUGAACCUAACGGUACGUCUGAAGCUUUGAUUAACAUUUGAGGAGAACAAGUGUGGCCCGAUCUUCCGAAAGGUUCUAGUAACUAUCAAUUUUGUGGAAACGAGACCCAAAUCAAUCCAUCUUGCGAACAACACGGUUCGAAACUAUGCAAUUUUUUUUUUGAUAUUUUUCUUUUACUUAGGAGCACUCAAGAAGUAACCAUAGGAAAUUUGAGCUUAAACAAGUGAAAGACUUGGCCUGUGAAAUUUUUUGAAGAUUACGAAGAAUAUAAAAAAACUUUAGGAGGUGAAAACUCAAACUUCAGGGGCGAAUUUGGGGAUUCUAAAAUUAUCGAACCCACCUCUAGCAAAGAUAGACAGAUCCAAAAAUUUGUUCUGAUCGAUUUUGAUAUAUGGAACGUCAAUAUCGGAGUUCCUAUGCGAAAGUUAUGGCUGUUUUACGAACGGACUCUGAAUUAGAGGACAAAACGGUCCGGAAGUGGGAAAAUUUUACGGUGGUGGCUAUAAAUUGAUGGAAACGGUGGGAAAAAACACACAAACUGGACUCUAACAAGACCAAAUCAGUAACAAGACCUCGACCAGGACACAAACUCAACACUACGGACUCUGAAACUGAAAUAUGCAAAGGUUAUGGCGCGGAUGGGUUGUAGGACAUGAAAACAAUUUGGCACUAGACUUAUGGGACGAACACAAGGACACUCGAAACUAAGGGUAGAUGUCAACCUAACGGUACGUCUGAAGCUUUGAUUACCACUUGAGGAGAACAAGGCCCGAUCUUCCGAAAGGUUCUGGUAACUAUCGAUUUGGUGGAAACGAGACACAAAUCAAUCCAGUUUGCGAACAACACGAUUCGAAACCUUGCAAUUCUUUUUUUUUUGAUAUUUUUCCUUUUACUUAGGAGCACUGAAGAAGUAACCACAAGAAAUUUGAGCUUAAACAAGUGAAGGACGUGGCCUGUGGAAUUUUUUGAAGAUUGCGAAAAAUAUGAAAAUAAAGUUUAGGAGGUGAAAACUCAAAUUUUCAGAGGCGAGUUUAGGAAUUCUAAAUUUGUCGCACCCGCCUAUGGCAGGGAUAGACAGAUCCAAAAAUUUUUCUGAUCGAUUUUGAUAUAUGGAACGUCAAAAUCGGAGUUCGUAGGCGAAAGUUAUGGCUCUUUUACGAACGGACUCAGAAUUAGAGGACAAAACGGUCCGGAAGUGGGAAAAAUUUGCGGUGGCGGCUAGAAAUUGAUGGAAACGGUGGGAAAAACACACAAACUGGACUCUAACAAGACCAAAUUAGUAACAAGACCUCGACCAGGACACAAACUCAACACUACGGACUAUGAAACGGAAAUAUGCAAAGGUUAUGGCGCGGAUGGGUUGUAGGACAUGAAAACAAUUUGGCACUAGACUUAUGGGACGAACACAAGGACACUCGAAACUAAGGGUAGAUGUGAACCUAACGGUACGUCUGAAGCUUUGAUUACCACUUGAGGAGAACAAGGCCCGAUCUUCCGAAAGGGUCUGGUAACUAUCGAUUUGGUGGAAACGAGACACAAAUUAAUCCAGUUUGCGAACAACACGAUUCGAAACCCGGCAAUUCUUUUUAUUUUUUUUGAUAUUUUUCUUUUACUUAGGAGCACUCAAGAAGUAACCACAAGAAAUUUGAGCUUAAACAAGUGAAGGACGUGGCCUGUGGAAUUUUUUGAAGAUUGCGAAAAAUAUGAAAAUAAAGUUUAGGAGGUGAAAACUCAAAUUUUUCAGAGGCGAGUUUGGGAAUUCUAAAUUUGUCGCACCCGCCUAUGGUGGGGAUAGACAGAUCCAAAAAAUUUUCUGAUCGAUUUUGAUAUAUGGAACGUCAAAAUCAGAGUUCGUAGGCCAAAGUUAUGGCUGUUUUACGAACGGACUCUGAAUUAGAGGACAAAACGGUCCGGAAGUGGGAAAAUUUUACGGUGGUGGCUAUAAAUUGAUGGAAACGGUGGGAAGAAACACACAAAUUGGACUCUAACAAGACCUAACCAGUAACAAGAUCUCGACCAGGACACAAACUCAACACUACGGACUCUGAAACUGAAAUAUGCAAAGGCUAUGGCGCGGAUGGGUUGUAGGACAUGAAAACAAUAUAGCACUAGACUUAUGGGACGAACACAAGGACACUCGAAACUAAGGAUAGAUAUGAACCUAACGGUACGUCUGAAGCUUUGAUUAACACUUGAGGAGAACAAGUAUGGCCCGAUCUUCCGAAACGUUCUAGUAACUAUCAAUUUGGUGGAAACGAGACCCAAAUCAAUCCAUCUUGCGAACAACGCGGUUCGAAACCCUGCAAAUCUUUUUAUUUAUUUUUUUUGAUAUUUUUAUUUUACUUAGGAGCACUCAAGAAGUAACCAUAGAAAUUUUGAGCUUAAACAAGUGAAAGACUUGGCCUGUGGAAUUUUUUGAAGAUUGCGAAAAAUAAAAAAAACUUUAGGAGGUGAAAACUCAAAUUUCAGGGGCGAAUUUGGGGAUUCUAAAAUUAUCGAACCCACCUCUAGCGGAGAUAGACAGAUCCAAAAAUUUGUUCUGAUCGAUUAUGAUAUAUGGAACGUCAAUAUCGGAGUUCGUAUGCGAAAGUUAUGACUGUUUUACGAACGGACUCCGAAUUAGAGGACAAAACGGUCCGGAAGUGGGAAAAAUUUGUGGUGGUGGCUAGAAAUUGAUGGAAACGGUGGGAAAAAACACACAAACUGGACUCUAACAAGACCAAAUCAGUAACAAGACCUCGACCAGGACACAAACUCAACACUACGGAAUCUGAAACUGAAAUAUGCAAAGGUUAUGGCGCGGAUGGGUUGUAGGACAUGAAAACAAUUUGGCACUAGACUUAUGGGAGGAACACAAGGACACUCGAAACUAAGGGUAGAUGUGAACCUAACAGUACGUCUGAAGCUUUGAUUACCACUUGAGGAGAACAAGGCCCGAUCUUCCGAAAGGUUCUUUUAACUAUCGAUUUCGUGGAAACGAGACACAAAUCAAUCCAGUUUGCGAACAACACGAUUCGAAACCCUACAAUUCUUUUUUUUGAUAUUUUUCUUUUACUUAGGAGCACUGAAGAAGUAACCACAAGAAAUUUGAGCUUAAACAAGUGAAGGACGUGGCCUGUGGAAUUUUUUGAAGAUUGCGAAAAAUAUGAAAAUAAAGUUUAGGAGGUGAAAACUCAAAUUUUCAGAGGCGAGUUUGGGAAUUCUAAAUUCGUCGCACCCGCCAAUGGCUGGGAUAGAUAGAUCCAAAAAUUUUUCUGAUCGAUUUUGAUAUAUGGAACGUCAAAAUCGGAGUUCGUAGGCGAAAGUUAUGGCUGUUUUACGAACGGACUCCGAAUUAGGGGACAAAACAGUCCGGAAGUGGGAAAAUUUUGCGGUGGUGGCUAUAAAUUGAUGGAAAGGGUGGGAAGAAACACACAAAUUGGACUCUAACAAGACCUAACCAGUAACAAGAUCUCGACCAGGUCACAAACUCAACACUACGGACUCUGAAACUGAAAUAUGCAAAGGCUAUGGCGCGGAUGGGUUGUAGGACAUGAAAACAAUAUAGCACUAGACUUAUGGGACGAACACAAGGACACUCGAAACUAAGGAUAGAUAUGAACCUAACGGUACGUCUGAAGCUUUGAUUAACACUUGAGGAGAACAAGUAUGGCCCGAUCUUCCGAAACGUUCUAGUAACUAUCAAUUUGGUGGAAACGAGACCCAAAUCAAUCCAUCUUGCGAACAACGCGGUUCGAAACCCUGCAAAUCUUUUUAUUUAUUUUUUCUGAUAUUUUUAUUUUACUUAGGAGCACUCAAGAAGUAACCAUAGAAAUUUUGAGCUUAAACAAGUGAAAGACUUGGCCUGUGGAAUUUUUUGAAGAUUGCGAAAAAUAAAAAAAACUUUAGGAGGUGAAAACUCAAAUUUCAGGGGCGAAUUUGGGGAUUCUAAAAUUAUCGAACCCACCUCUAGCGGAGAUAGACAGAUCCAAAAAUUUGUUCUGAUCGAUUAUGAUAUAUGGAACGUCAAAAUCGGAAUUCGUAUGCGACAGUUAUGGCUGUUUUACGAACGGACUCCGAAUUAGAGGACAAACAGUCCGGAAGUGGGAAACAUUUGCGGCGGUGCCUAUAAAUUGAUGGAAACGGUGGGAAGAAACACACAAAUUUGACUCUAACAAGACCUAGCCAGUAACACUGAAACUGAAAUAUGCAAAGGUUAUGGCGCGGAUGGGUUGUAGGACAUGAAAACAAUAUAGCACUAGACUUAUGGGAUGAACAUAAAGACACUCGAAACUAAGGAUAGAUAUGAACCUAACGGUACGUCUGAAGCUUUGAUUAACACUUGAGGAGAACAAGUGUGGCCCGAUCUUCCGAAAGGUUCUAGUAACUAUCAAUUUGGUGGAAACGAGACCCAAAUCAAUCCAUCUUGCGAACAACGCGGUUCGAAACCCUGCAAUUCUAUUUUUUUUUUGAUAUUUGUCUUUUACUUAGGAGCACUCAAGAAGUAACCAUAGGAAAUUUGAGCUUAAACAAGUGAAAGACUUGGCCUGUGGAAUUUUUUUAAGAUUGUGAAAAAUAUAAAAAAACUUUAGGAGAUGAAAACUCAAACUUCAGGGGCGAAUUUGGGGAUUCUAAAAUUAUCGAACCCACCUCUAGUGGAGAUAGACAGAUCCAAAAAUUUGUUCUGAUCGAUUUUGAUAUAUGGAACGUCAAUAUCGGAGUUCGUAUGCGAAAGUUAUGGCUGUUUUACGAACGGACUCCGAAUUAGAGGACAAAACGGUCCGGAAGUGGGAAAAAUUUGUGGUGGUGGCUAGAAAUUAAUGGAAACGGUGGGAAAAAACACACAAACUGGACUCUAACAAGACCAAAUCAGUAACAAGACCUCGACCAGGACACAAACUCAACACUACGGACUCUAAAACUGAAAUAUGCAAAGGUUAUGGCGCGGAUGGGUUGUAGGACAUGAAAACAAUUUGGCACUAGACUUAUGGGACGAACACAAGGACACUCGAAACUAAGGAUAGAUGUGAACCUAACGGUACGUCUGAAGCUUUGAUUACCACAUGAGGAGAACAAGGCCCGAUCUUCCGAAAGGUUCUGGUAACUAUCGAUUUGGUGGAAACGAGACACAAAUCAAUCCAGUUUGCGAACAACACGAUUCGAAACCCUGCAAUUCUUUUUUUUGAUAUUUUUCUUUUACUUAGGAGCACUCAAGAAGUAACCACAGGAAAUUUGAGCUUGAACAAGUGAAGGACGUGGCCUGUGGAAUUUUUUGAAGAUUGCGAAAAUAUGAAAAGAAAGUUUAGGAGGUGAAAACUCAAAUUUUCAGAGGCGAGUUUAGGAAUUCUAAAUUUGUCGCACCUGCCUAUGGCGGGGAUAGACAGAUCCAAAAAUUUUUCUGAUCGAUUUUGAUAUAUGGAACGUCAAAAUCGGAGUUUGUAGGCGAAAGUUAUGGCUGUUUUAUGAACGGACUCUGAAUUAGAGGACAAAACGGUCCGGAAGUGGGAAAAAUUUGCGGUGGUGGCUAGAAAUUGAUGGAAACGGUGGGAAAAACACACAAACUGGACUCUAACAAGACCAAAUUAGUAACAAGACCUUGACCAGGACACAAACUCAACACUACGGACUAUGAAACUGAAAUAUGCAAAGGUUAUGGCGCGGAUGGGUUGUAGGACAUGAAAACAAUUUGGCACUAGACUUAUGGGACGAACACAAGGACACUCGAAACUAAGGGUAGAUGUGAACCUAAUGGUACGUCUGAAGCUUUGAUUACCACUUGAGGAGAACAAGGCCCGAUCUUGCGAAAGGUUCUGGUAACUAUCGAUUUGGUGGAAACGAGACACAAAUUAAUCCAGUUUGCGAACAACACGAUUCGAAACCCUACAAUUCUUUUUAUUUUUUUGAUAUUUUUAUUUUACUUAGGAGCACUCAAGAAGUAACCACAAGAAAUUUGAGCUUAAACAAGUGAAGGACGUGGCCUGUGGAAUUUUUUGAAGAUUGCGAAAAAUAUAAAAAUAAAGUUUAGGAGGUGAAAACUCAAAUUUUCAGAGGCGAGUUUGGGAAUUCUAAAUUUGUCGCACCCGCCUAUGGUGGGGAUAGACAGAUCCAAAAAUUUUUCUGAUCAAUUUUGAUAUAUGGAACGUUAAAAUCAGUGUUCGUAGGCGAAAGUUAUGGCUGUUUUACGAACGGACUCUGAAUUAGAGGACAAAACGGUCCGGAAGUGGGAAAAAUUUGCGGUGGUGGCUAGAAAUUGAUGGAAACGGUGGGAAAAACACACAAACUGGACUCUAACAAGACCAAAUUAGUAACAAGACCUCGACCAGGACACAAACUCAACACUACGGACUAUGAAACUGAAAUAUGCAAAGGUUAUGGAGCGGAUGGGUUGUAGGACAUGAAAACAAUUUGGCACUAGACUUAUGGGACGAACACAAGGACACUCGAAACUAAGGGUAGAUGUGAACCUAACGGUGCGUCUGAAGCUUUGAUUACCACUUGAGGAGAACAAGGCCCGAUCUUCCGAAAGGUUUUGGUAACUAUCGAUUUGGUGGAAACAAGACACAAAUUAAUCCAGUUUGCGAACAACACGAUUAGAAACCCUGCAAUUCUUUUUAUUUUUUUUAUUUGAUAUUUUUGUUUUACUUAGGAGCACCGAACAAGUAGCCACAGGAAAUUUGAGCUUAAACAAGUGAAAGACGUUGCCUGUGGAAUUUUUUUAGAUUGCGAAAAAUAUGAAAAUAAACUUUAGGAGGUGAAAACUCAAAUUUAAAGGC
This 40608-nucleotide long non-coding RNA is filed under the name Sorghum bicolor (sorghum). RNAcentral describes it as "long non-coding RNA (SBIC_LNC010496)". Lineage: Eukaryota; Viridiplantae; Streptophyta; Magnoliopsida; Poales; Poaceae. The record is from RNAcentral.